UGGCACUGUCUAGUGACUUGAUGACCUUUUCCUUGGCUUUCAUGUCUCAUUCCAGUGCCAGAUUAACCCCAGUUUGCAGAAGGGCUGGGCUUCUGAUCUGUAACCUCUCCCUUUCGAAGGCUGGGCACAAGU
Molecule: small nucleolar RNA, 132 nt
Organism: Polyodon spathula (Mississippi paddlefish)
Lineage: Eukaryota; Metazoa; Chordata; Actinopteri; Acipenseriformes; Polyodontidae
Source: RefSeq, a predicted model, not a curated record